Molecule: non-coding RNA, 234 nt
Organism: Cinara cedri
Lineage: Eukaryota; Metazoa; Arthropoda; Insecta; Hemiptera; Aphididae
Source: the annotation of a GenBank genome assembly
AAAUACAGUAGUAAAUUAAAUUACUCCGGUAAAAAUAAAUAUACUAGGAUAUAUUUACCUCCACAACACAAAUUUGAUUCCAGGGAGUAAAUAUAUAUUAUCAAUGACCUGGAGUAGCCUCAUCAUAGUGGUCCUAUUUCCGCAUUUAAUUAUUUAAUUACAUAUAGUAGUAAUGGAUUUUAUCUAGAUAAAUUAUUUAGAUAGGCAGAUAUAUUAUGAUAUUUUAACUUAUCU